RNAcentral lists this ribosomal RNA (253 nucleotides) under uncultured bacterium. Its description in RNAcentral is "partial 16S ribosomal RNA". It matches the Rfam family "Bacterial small subunit ribosomal RNA", at positions 524 to 776 of the family's 1533-position model. The record is from RNAcentral.
UACGGGGGGGGCAAGCGUUGUUCGGAAUUACUGGGCGUAAAGGGCUCGUAGGCGGCCAACUAAGUCGGAUGUGAAAUCCCCAGGCUCAACUUGGGAACUGCAUCCGAUACUGGAUGGCUUGAAUUCGGGAGAGGGAUGCAGAAUUCUAGGUGUAGCGGUGAAAUGCGUAGAUAUCUGGAGGAAUACCGGUGGCGAAGGCGGCAUCCUGGACCGACAUUGACGCUGAGACGCGAAAGCGUGGGGAGCGAACAGG